This is an RNA transcript of Perognathus longimembris pacificus (Pacific pocket mouse), 3323 nucleotides long. It is a transcript of the gene named abhydrolase domain containing 15, with no coding region annotated. The transcript is spliced from 3 exons. The record is from RefSeq and is a predicted model, not a curated record. NCBI's taxonomy places the organism in Eukaryota, Metazoa, Chordata, Mammalia, Rodentia, Heteromyidae.
CUAGCAGUAUCCCCGCUCCGUGACCCCCGCCCACCCCGGCUCGCUCGCUCCCCCCCUCCCGGCGGCCUCGACUCCCUCCACCCUCCGCAGCAGCUUGUUGCAAUUGCUGUACAAAGGGCUGGGGGCGGGCGAGGGGAGUUCGACCCGAACUGGCUGCCGCUGCGGGGCCGCAGCCAAUCCGGAGCGCGCGCGCCCGCCCGCCCGGGCGGGAGGGCCCUGGGCCGCCGCGGGCGACCGGGCGGAGCCGCGGGCAUAGCGCGGAGCUCGGCGUGGGGACAGCCCGGCCGCCCGCCUGCCCUCUGCCCGCUGGGGGCUCUUCGGCCCCGCCAUGCCGCCGUGGGGGGCCGCUCUCACUCUGCUCCUGGCGGCGCUCGCCCUGCUCUUCCUGCUCGCCCCGCGGCUCAGGCGCCCCCGGAGCCGCGCCGUCGGGACGGAGACCCUGCCCCAAGCCCCGGCCCCCGAUCCCCAGGAGGAGGUAGACGGCCGAGGCCUGGCGGAUCCGUUCAGCGCCGGGCAGGAGCCGCUGCCCGGAGGGUGCAGCCUCCUCUGUAAGCCGUCGGCGCUGGCGCAGUGUCUGCUGCGCGCCCUGCGGCGCUCGGCGGCGCUGGAGCCCGGCCCGCGCUCCUGGUUCUCCGGUCCCCACCUGCAGACCCUCUGCCACUUCGUCCUGCCCGUCGGCGGGGCCGGGCCGGAGUUGGCCCGGGAGUACCUGCAAUUGGCGGACGAUGGGCUGGUAGCCCUGGACUGGGUCGUGGGACCCUGCACCCGUGGCCGCCGGGUCACCAACGCCGGGGGGCUUCCGGCCGUGCUGCUGGUGAUCCCCAGCGCGUGGGGGCGCCUCACCCGCAACGUGCUGGGCCUCUGCCUGCUCGCCCUGGAGCGCGGCUACUACCCGGUCAUCUUCCACCGCCGCGGCCACCACGGCUGCCCGCUCGUCAGCCCCAGGCUGCAGGCUUUUGGGGACCCGUCCGACCUCAAGGAAGCCGUCACUUACAUCCGCUUCCGACACCCUGCCGCCCCGCUGUUCGCGGUGAGCGAGGGCUCGGGCUCCGCACUGCUGCUGUCCUACCUGGGCGAGUGCGGCUCCUCCAGCUACGUGACCGGAGCUGCCUGCAUCUCGCCGGUGCUGCGCUGCCGGGAGUGGUUCGAGGCCGGCCUGCCCUGGGCCUAUGAGCGCGGCUUCCUGCUGCACCAGAAAAUCGCCCUCAGCAGAUAUGCCACAGCCCUAGAGAACACAGUGGACACCAGCAAGCUGUUUAUGAGCCGCUCUCUUCGUGAGUUUGAGGAGACCCUCUUCUGCCACACCAAGACUCUCCCCAUCAGCUGGGAUACCUAUUGGGAUCAAAAUGACCCCCUCCGGGAUGUGGAUGAGGCAGCUGUUCCUGUUCUGUGCAUCUGCAGCACUGAUGACCCCAUAUGUGGGCCCCCUGACCGCGCACUGCCUGCUGAACUCUUCCAAAGCAACCCUUAUUUCUUCCUGCUCCUCAGUCACCAGGGAGGCCAUUGUGGCUUCUUGCGCCAGGAGCCCUUGCCAGCUUGGAGCCACGAGGUCAUCUUGGAAUCCUUUCGGGCCUUGACUGAUUUCUUCCGAACGGAAGAGAGGUUGAAAGGACUGAGCAGGCGUCGAACUUCAUUCCUAGGAAGCCGGCGUCGCUGGGGAACCCUGCAGAAGCGAGAAGUCUCUCCCUCUUCCAAUCUAGAGGUCUUUAGCUGGAAGCGAUCAUACACAAGGUGAAGGUUGCUUGAAGAAGGUCACACUCGGGCAAGGAAGGAGAGCUGGGUACAGCGGAAUCAAAAAGAUGGUGAGGACUUGAGGCUGAAGGUGUGCCUCAAGUGGUAGAGGGGCUGCCUAGCAAGUACAAGAUCUCAAAUCCCAUUACAAAAAACACCAAAGAAAAAUAAACAGGUACAUUAAAAAAAAAAAAAAAAAGAACAACAAGGACAUGGGGAGGGGUCAGGGGAAGCUCAAGCUUUUUAUUUCUGAAGCUAUCAUUUCUCUUUUAAACUGGUCUAUAGAAGGAGAUGCAACGUUUAUUCACUACCUAGAGCAGAAAUACUGUCCGGGCUCUGUGAAACACAUUCCCACUCAUCCUGGUCAGCCCCUGUCACCAUCUCUUUUUUUUUUGCCAGUUGUAGGGCUUGAACUUAAGGGCCUGGGAACUGUCCCUGAGCUUCUUUUGGUCAAGGCCGGUGCUCUACCACUUGAGCCACAGCGCCACUUCUGGCUUUUUCUGUUUAUGUGGUACUUAGGAAUCAAACCCAGGGCUUCAUGCAUGCUAGGUAAGCACUCUACCACUAAGCCACAUUCCCACCCCCUGUCACAAUCUUCUUAAACCAAGGGAUAGCAACUUUUAAGUUCAUGAACUUGAGAGAAAAAGCUUCUCUUCCAGUUGUGACUAUGGGGACAAUGAAUUUGUGAGUGCCAUUGAGUGGCCCUGUUACACAUAAAUAAUCAGCUUGGUGACUCUGAGUCUCGAGCUGGAGCCACUUGAUGUAGAAAGGACAGGAUGUUUGUGUCUCAGUCCCACUUCCCUCAUUUGCUCUGUGGUUGUGGCUCUGCUCUGACUUAGUGCAUCAGCAGCUGUGGAAGCCAGCUCCCAGAGUUGCUGGCGUUUUCAGCAGCCUGAGAAGGCAGCAGAGGCAGGAAGUGCUGUGCCGAGACCAGCCUGGAAAGAGCUGACACCGAACAGGGCUGAUCUGGGGCACCAGCCUUGCCCCUCAAGUCCCCUGAAAUGAUCCCAAAGGUAUUUCAGGAAUAGAAAAUGCCUUGCACAGAGUCUAGCAGGAGUGGGGGAACCUUUCUCCUGCCGAGGGUCAUUUGGAUAUUAUAACAUCAUUUGUAGGCCAAAAUGAUCAAUGUAGGCAGAUGGCCAUGUGAAGCAGACAAGGAAUGUAUUGUCUAUUCCAUCAUGUACCAAGUGAUUUUGCAGACCUUAUUCAGCUUGUAGGCUGAAUGUUCCCCACCACCAAAGGGCUGUGAUAGAACACGGCUCAGGUUGUCAGAUUCUGGCACCUUAUAUGUUUCUCUUCCUCUAGUUGUAACUUUGGGUUUCCUUCAGAUAGCCCCAGCCAGACCUGAUUUUUCUCUUGAGAUUUGGGCUUUCUUGAAGUCAAUGAUCAGUACAAACCUCAUAACUGAGAAUUUGUUUAGGGACUCCCUUUUCUGAUGCUACUAGCCUCUCCCUUUCCAGAGCCAAGAGAGACAUCUGGGACCAAAGGAAAUAAAAGCCCCAAGAGGUUGACUAGAGCUGACUGUGAUUUAUGAAUGUCUCAUAUUAUGAUGCUUUGUCUGCUCAAUUAUUCAAAAGUCCAUCCAUGCAAAG